UACGUAGGGUGCAAGCGUUAAUCGGAAUUACUGGGCGUAAAGCGUGCGCAGGCGGUUUUGUAAGACUGUCGUGAAAUCCCCGGGCUUAACCUGGGAAUGGCGAUGGUGACUGCAAGGCUAGAGUUUGGCAGAGGGGGGUAGAAUUCCACGUGUAGCAGUGAAAUGCGUAGAUAUUGGGAGGAACACCGGUGGCGAAGGCGGCCCCCUGGACCGGAACUGACGCUGAGGCGCGAAAGCGUGGGUAGCAAACGGG
RNAcentral lists this ribosomal RNA (253 nucleotides) under uncultured bacterium. RNAcentral's name for it is "partial 16S ribosomal RNA". It matches the Rfam family "Bacterial small subunit ribosomal RNA", at positions 524 to 776 of the family's 1533-position model. The record is from RNAcentral.